RNAcentral lists this unclassified non-coding RNA (240 nucleotides) under soil metagenome. Its description in RNAcentral is "partial contains 5.8S ribosomal RNA, internal transcribed spacer 2, and large subunit ribosomal RNA". The record is from RNAcentral.
AACGCACGAGACCUGCGGACCUGCGGAGGGAUCAUUACCGAGUUUACAACUCCCAAACCCCAAUGUGAACAUUACCUUUACUGUUGCUUCGGCGGGAUCGCCCCGGGCGCGGCCGAGAGGCCCAGCCCCGGAUCCAACGUGCGCCCGCCGGAGGACCCCAGACUCCAUGUUUCUUGCAAGGUAUUUCUGAGCUGCUCCUAGCGAGCAAAACAAAAAAUGAAUCAAAACUUUCAACAAUGG